Molecule: long non-coding RNA, 376 nt
Organism: Paramormyrops kingsleyae
Lineage: Eukaryota; Metazoa; Chordata; Actinopteri; Osteoglossiformes; Mormyridae
Source: RefSeq, a predicted model, not a curated record
CCUGUUGUCUUGGUGAGGUGCAGUUGCUCGUGUGUGGCUGGGACUGCAAUGUGCAACCAUACAGUUGCCCUUCUAUACCAGACUGCUCACUUCUCUCAGCUCAGUGUGCCAGUGGUUCCACCAGUUCACAGCUGCACUGAAGAGGAGCAACAGUGGCACAAACCUCGGACUGCUGGUGUAAAACCAGGACCAAUUGGCAAGAUGGUUGUCACAAAGCCUGUGCAAGGCCAGAUGUGGGAAGGCGGCUUAUGGAGUACCCUGACGAGAGGAAUGCUCGGGCCGCUUCCUGACCUGUCUGUGCUGCGGGUGGCAGAGGUGUACAGUGAACUGGAUCCUCUAGAUACCCAUAGUAGUCACCAAUGGCCUAUGAGUGCAA